CUACAUGAAGCUGGAGUUACUAGUAAUCGCAGAUCAGAAUGCUGCGGUGAAUGCGUUCCCGGGUCUUGUACACACCGCCCGUCACACCACGGGAGUUGGAGACGCCCGAAGCCGAUUAUCUAACCUUUUGGAAGAAGUCGUCGAAGGGGGAAUCAAUAACUGGGGUGAAGUCGUAACAAGGUAGCCGUAUCGGAAGGUGCGGCUGGAUCACCUCCUUUCUAAGGAGA
RNAcentral lists this ribosomal RNA (227 nucleotides) under Clostridioides difficile. RNAcentral describes it as "partial 16S ribosomal RNA". It matches the Rfam family "Bacterial small subunit ribosomal RNA", at positions 1316 to 1533 of the family's 1533-position model. The record is from RNAcentral. Lineage: Bacteria; Bacillati; Bacillota; Clostridia; Peptostreptococcales; Peptostreptococcaceae.